This 460-nucleotide ribosomal RNA is filed under the name uncultured bacterium. Its description in RNAcentral is "partial 16S ribosomal RNA". It matches the Rfam family "Bacterial small subunit ribosomal RNA", at positions 338 to 795 of the family's 1533-position model. The record is from RNAcentral.
CCUACGUGGGUCAGCAGUGAGGAAUAUUUGUCAAUGGGCGCGAGCCUGAACCAGCCAAGUAGCGUGAAGGAUGACUGCCCUACGGGUUGUAAACUUCUUUUAUAAAGGAAUAAAGUGAGGCACGUGUGCCUUUUUGUAUGUACUUUAUGAAUAAGGAUCGGCUAACUCCGUGCCAGCAGCCGCGGUAAUACGGAGGAUCCGAUCGUUAUCCGGAUUUAUUGGGUUUAAAGGGAGCGUAGAUGGGUUGUUAAGUCAGUUGUGAAAGUUUGCGGCUCAACCGUAAAAUUGCAAUUGAUACUGGCAGUCUUGAGUACAGUUGAGGUAGGCGGAAUUCGUGGUGUAGCGGUGAAAUGCUUAGAUAUCACGAAGAACUCCGAUUGCGAAGGCAGCUUACUAAACUGCCACUGACAUUGAUGCUCGAAAGUGUGGGUAUCAAACAGGAUUAGAUACCCCAGUAGUC